RNAcentral lists this ribosomal RNA (652 nucleotides) under uncultured Actinomycetales bacterium. RNAcentral describes it as "bacterial SSU rRNA". It matches the Rfam family "Bacterial small subunit ribosomal RNA", at positions 70 to 737 of the family's 1533-position model. The record is from RNAcentral. Lineage: Bacteria; Bacillati; Actinomycetota; Actinomycetes; Actinomycetales.
AAGGCCCUGCUUGCAGGGUACUCGAGUGGCGAACGGGUGAGUAACACGUGGGUGAUCUGCCCUGCACUUCGGGAUAAGCUUGGGAAACUGGGUCUAAUACCGGAUAGGAACCAUCUUUAGUGUGGUGGUUGGAAAGUUUUUUCGGUGUAGGAUGAGCUCGCGGCCUAUCAGCUUGUUGGUGGGGUAAUGGCCUACCAAGGCGGCGACGGGUAGCCGGCCUGAGAGGGUGUACGGCCACAUUGGGACUGAGAUACGGCCCAGACUCCUACGGGAGGCAGCAGUGGGGAAUAUUGCACAAUGGGCGCAAGCCUGAUGCAGCGACGCCGCGUGGGGGAUGAAGGCCUUCGGGUUGUAAACUCCUUUCGCUAGGGACGAAGCUUUUUGUGACGGUACCUAGAUAAGAAGCACCGGCUAACUACGUGCCAGCAGCCGCGGUAAUACGUAGGGUGCGAGCGUUGUCCGGAAUUACUGGGCGUAAAGGGCUCGUAGGUGGUUUGUCGCGUCGUCUGUGAAAUUCUGGGGCUUAACUCCGGGCGUGCAGGCGAUACGGGCAUAACUUGAGUGCUGUAGGGGUAACUGGAAUUCCUGGUGUAGCGGUGAAAUGCGCAGAUAUCAGGAGGACACCGAUGGCGAAGGCAGGUUACUGGGCAGU